This 71-nucleotide transfer RNA is filed under the name Licmophora sp. RNAcentral's name for it is "tRNA-Gly". It matches the Rfam family "tRNA". From Rfam's summary of the family: Transfer RNA (tRNA) molecules are approximately 80 nucleotides in length. Their secondary structure includes four short double-helical elements and three loops (D, anti-codon, and T loops). Lineage: Eukaryota; Bacillariophyta; Fragilariophyceae; Licmophorales; Licmophoraceae. The record is from RNAcentral.
GCGAGUAUAGUUUAGUGGUAAAACUUUAGUCUUCCAAUCUAAUGAUGGGGGUUCGAUUCCCCCUACUCGCU